This 1518-nucleotide ribosomal RNA is filed under the name Triticum aestivum (bread wheat). RNAcentral's name for it is "partial small subunit ribosomal RNA". Lineage: Eukaryota; Viridiplantae; Streptophyta; Magnoliopsida; Poales; Poaceae. The record is from RNAcentral.
AUGGGCGCCGUGCUGCAGGUUGUGGGCGCGCCGGGGCCAGCGCCGGCGGGAACCGUGGCCGGCACGGGGCAGUUCGGCCUCGUGCUCUCCGACGGCGUGCACUCGCUGGAGGCGGUGCUGGACGUCACCAUGGACGGCCUCGUCACCGCCGGCCUCCUCCGCGCCGGCUCCGUUGUCCGAGUCCUCGACUACCUAUACAGCUAUGCCGCGAACCUAAGGGUCUUCGUUGUUUUCCAGCUCGAAAUACUGCAAGCUGAGUGCACGCUGAUCGGGAGUCCCACAAUCUAUGAGGUCAGUGACCCGAAGAACGGAUGCUAUUCUGAUAGACUGGGCAUACAUAGGCCUGACAUGAUCUCAAAGGUUCAGCAAGGUGUUACCAACAUAGCAUGUUCUCGUGAUCAAGGCUUGGCAGGUUCGUCUCGUGCUCCAAGGGUAGAGCAUGCUGUGAACAAUCUGCGUGGAUUUUAUGAUUUAGUGUCAGCCCAGAACACAAUAGAUGCCAAGAUGCAGCAGCUUUCACUGAGGAAUCAAGGCCAGGGGCUCGCGGCUCCUCCGACAAACUGGGAAGGCUUCGACUGUACCGGCAAUACAUACCGAACCAUUGCACAGAUCAAGGAUGAGAACUUUAGGAUGUCCAGUCAACCUGACUUGAUCACGGUUGUGGCUGCAGUUUCACAGGUAGACAGUGGUGCCUUCUGCUACCCAUCUUGCGCCUUGAUGUUCGACGGUGAGAAAUGCAAUAACAAGCUGAAAGUUGAUGGUGAUGGGUGGUGGUGCACCAGAUGCCUCUGGAGGUCCCAGACCUGCGAGUACCGGUACAUGCUCAACUGCCAAAUCAGUGACCAUACUGGUUCAACCAAUGCGACAGUCUUGCAGCAGGCUGCCGAGGAAAUAAUUGGCUACACAGCACAAGAACUCCUCAUGAUAAAAGAUGUCGAGAAAGACGGUGUAAAAUUUGAGGAAAUCAUGCAGGGUAUCCUUGGGCGUCAGUGUGUACUUAAGCUGAGAGUCGAGGGGCAUGGUGUAAUGACGAAGCGCAGCAUAGUUGAGGCUGAGAAGUUGGAGUCGCCGAAUACGAGCCAUCUCCUAGGGGCGAUCGGCAACCUGUUAAAGAGCGGUUCGUCCCCAACUCCAUGGCAGCAAGGUGGCCUGGCCCCAACCGCCCGUCGUCCCACAAAUCUGCAGGCACCUUUUAGAACUUCCAACAAUUCCUAUGGCAGCAUGAGGAGCACCAGGGGCGCAAGCUACGGGCGCCCCGCGGAUCAGCUUCCGCGUUUCUCUACUCCACCACCACCCUAUAGCAGCAUGAUGAGCACGGGUGGCGCAAGCUAUCUGCGCUCCCUCGCAGGUCAGCUUCCACACAUCUCUACGCCACCAUCAGCCUAUGGCAGCAUGAUGAGCACCGGUGGCGCAACCUACCGGCACAUGGCAUAUCGGCUUCCACAGAUUUUGUCUACCCCACCAUCAGCCUAUGGCAGCAUGAUGAGCACCGGUGGUGACGCAAGCUAUUGGUAUUGA